UUUUUUUUUUUUUUUUACUAGUUCCUUUUUACCAACGCUGGCGUAAAUUAGAAAAUAUAAAAAUCCAGCGAUUCGAGGGGUGAGGUGC
RNAcentral lists this non-coding RNA (88 nucleotides) under uncultured eukaryote. The record is from RNAcentral.